RNAcentral lists this non-coding RNA (148 nucleotides) under Gorilla gorilla gorilla (western lowland gorilla). Lineage: Eukaryota; Metazoa; Chordata; Mammalia; Primates; Hominidae. The record is from Rfam by way of RNAcentral.
GCCAGGUAUGGUGACGUGUGCCUGUAGUCCAAGCUACUUGGGAGGCUGAGGCAAGAGGAUUGCUUGAGCCUGGGAGGUCGAGGCUGCAGUGAGCCAUGAUCGUGCCACUGCAUUCCAGCCUGGGUGACAGAGUAAGACCCUGUCUCAA